RNAcentral lists this long non-coding RNA (549 nucleotides) under Nicotiana benthamiana. Its description in RNAcentral is "long non-coding RNA (NBEN_LNC008022)". Lineage: Eukaryota; Viridiplantae; Streptophyta; Magnoliopsida; Solanales; Solanaceae. The record is from RNAcentral.
GGAGAGACAUCAGAGACCUAAUCAUAAAAAAAAAAAAGAUCCUCCUUUGAAAACAAAAAGGGUAACGACGCUUCAUUCUCCAAAAGAGGAGGCAAAUCUGAUCCCUCCCUUUUUCUUCAUAACAGAGACGAAUGACCAUGACCCCACCCUCAGCUAACUCACCUUUCUCGUACUGACACACUAACUAGCCUAAACAAAAUUUCAAAAGAUGUUAAAAUUUGAGCUUAAGAUGUGAGAUUGUCAGGUUUAAGAUUCGAAGAAAAAACAACACAAAAAUGAUUCUGAAAAGUGCAUUCGUUGCUGCUAUUUCAAGAAGUUUUCUUCACUACUUCUUGAGUUUCAAUUUGGUUUUCUGACUGAGAAUCAAAGCCGAGCACUGUUGUUUCUUCACUAGCUGGACGCUAUUUCACUUGCGCAAAAUUUGUUUGAAUGAGAUUCUGCUCUUCUUUGGAUUAUCAUUUAGUGUUUUCCUCUUCAGCUAGGUCAGUUCUAAGUCCCUUUUUGUAUCAUUUUUGUUGAAUGACCAAGAAAUGUUUUGAUUCCUCUUGC